UACAGAGGUCCCAAGCGUUGUUCGGAUUCACUGGGCGUAAAGGGUGCGUAGGUGGUCGGGUAAGUCUGAUGUGAAAGCUCUGGGCUCAACCCAGAAAUGGCAUUGGAUACUAUCUGGCUAGAGGAAUGGAGGGGGGACUGGAAUGCUUGGUGUAGCAGUGAAAUGCGUAGAUAUCAAGUGGAACACCAGUGGCGAAGGCGAGUCCCUGGACAUUUCCUGACACUGAGGCACGAAAGCUAGGGGAGCAAACAGG
Molecule: ribosomal RNA, 253 nt
Filed under: uncultured bacterium
Lineage: Bacteria
Description: partial 16S ribosomal RNA
Rfam family: Bacterial small subunit ribosomal RNA
Source: RNAcentral